Malania oleifera is the source of this 1603-nucleotide long non-coding RNA. RefSeq lists it as uncharacterized. The record is from RefSeq and is a predicted model, not a curated record. The transcript has 5 exons. Lineage: Eukaryota; Viridiplantae; Streptophyta; Magnoliopsida; Santalales; Ximeniaceae.
GGGAGCCCACGCCGCAUGUCCAUCCUUAUCCCUGAAGGCCACAGGCAUGAGGAGAGUCGGUGGCUUGGCCCCUAUUGUAUGGGUAAAGAGUAAAUAACUGAUGUAGGGUUACGCAGCUGCUACCAAUUAACACGCAAAAGGCCCGUCUUCUUCCAAAUCCAUACCUCUGCAUGAAGAAUCGGCUGCUAGCUUUCUCACAAUUUGGGGAGCCUCAUCUACUCAUUUCCAAUCUCAGAUCCUCAGAUCCCCUGGCUGCAGAUAAUGGGUAAAUUGAGGUCGCGGGUGCCCAGUCGUCUCUCAACACAUGCCAUGGUUCCUAUUCCCUCAAGGUCAAGAGGGUAAGAACCAGAUUUUCUGUACCGUAUCAUCAGAAUCCCAGCAGAUCUUGCUUUCCAGGGUACAAGGAUAAAACUACCUAAGAUAUCAUCCUUAGGAAUCAAGCGUCAAAAUUUCGAAAAACAAAUAUAGUGUUUGCAAUGAAAUUCGUGGUGUAAUCAUGUGGUGAACUCGUUGUAGUUCAUAAGGGCUGUGGGAGGGAGGCAAUUGGACGAAGUGAGCGCCACAAGGGAGCUCAUACGCUAAGUUUUUCUCACAAGAUGUGUGUGGUAGAGGUGAAAAGCUUAAGAGGACAAAAUGCUGUUUUGGGGCAAUAAUGGCUCUGUUUUCUGUCUAGCAACAGACGCAUCGAUCCAAGCGAAUCACAUAGAUUUUACAUUGCAAGAAGAAGCCGUAAGCUCGGACAUAAGCUUGUGUUCCUUCAACAUGGGAGAAGCAAGUGUUUCACCUAAUUUGUCUUCGCCAGGUUUACAAACAGCGGACACAGUUUCUGACCAUAUGCAUCAUUCCUGAUCACAGGUGAUCCAGGUAGGCGAGCAGACCAGGCUUGCAAAUAGAGGGGCUUCAUUAGUGCCCUAUCAGAAAAUCUGCGAGUUCUCGGUGUUGGUGGAUAAAGCCACGAUGAUUGAGACCGGUAUCCGAGAGGAUGAGGUGGAUCAGGAAUCGAGGAAAAGGACGGUACCUUCUGGUUCUCAGUCAGGAUCUCGUUAGGGAUCGAGGAAGAAGAAGAGCAAGGGUUUGGGUUAUCGUCGGAAUACCGAGCGCCAGGGUUCUCGGAUGAGCCAGAUCAGUGAUCGUUGUACUAGGUGCCUCAGAUGGCACGAGGGCGAGAACCGGUCUUUUGGCGGUAACUGCUAUAACUAUGGUUGGUUAGGCCACAUGGCUCGCGAUUGUCAUGCAUUGAGGAAAGAUAUGCUUGUAUCUAGUGUGAACCGGGGGAGCAAUCAGAUACCUCGGGGGACCAUUCAGGCAAAUACAGCGCCGGCCAGAGUAUACUCUCUUACUCCAAUGGACGCUGAGCAUGCGGGGAACGUAAUGACAGGUCCUUCGAGUAAUCGGAACUAGCGUCCUGGUGUUGGAAGCGUAGUGGUCGGUGCACUACGGGUAGCGCUUGUGUAAGUGCUAGGACUUUUGCUUCAUAGGUUGCUGUUUUGGGGUAUGUUUGACACCUAGUUGUACAUUUUGUUUGUGUGGAGCCUGGACUCCAUUUCUUGUACAAACUCUGGUAUGGUACCAUGUAUGUAUAGAAUGACCUAUUUCCAUUGCA